GCAACAUUCGGAUCGUCGGUCCACCGAGCUAUAUCACCCGCUCGGCGAAAGAUAUCCUCUUAAUCGU
Molecule: microRNA precursor, 67 nt
Filed under: Bombyx mori (domestic silkworm)
Lineage: Eukaryota; Metazoa; Arthropoda; Insecta; Lepidoptera; Bombycidae
Description: mir-2774 microRNA precursor family
Rfam family: mir-2774 microRNA precursor family
Source: Rfam by way of RNAcentral